Molecule: ribosomal RNA, 582 nt
Filed under: Filobasidium chernovii
Lineage: Eukaryota; Fungi; Basidiomycota; Tremellomycetes; Filobasidiales; Filobasidiaceae
Description: partial large subunit ribosomal RNA
Rfam family: Eukaryotic large subunit ribosomal RNA
Source: RNAcentral
GGAGGAAAAGAAACUAACAAGGAUUCCCCUAGUAACGGCGAGUGAAGCGGGAAGAGCUCAAAUUUGAAAUCUGGUGGCCUCAGGUCAUCCGAGUUGUAAUCUAUAGAAGUGUUUUCCGUGCUGGCUCAUGUACAAGUCCCUUGGAACAGGGCGUCAUAGAGGGUGAGAAUCCCGUCCUUGACAUGAACUACCAGUGCUCUGUGAUACAUUUUCAACGAGUCGAGUUGUUUGGGAAUGCAGCUCAAAAUGGGUGGUAAAUUCCAUCUAAAGCUAAAUAUUGGCGAGAGACCGAUAGCGAACAAGUACCGUGAGGGAAAGAUGAAAAGCACUUUGGAAAGAGAGUUAAACAGUAUGUGAAAUUGUUAAAAGGGAAACGAUUGAAGUCAGUCGUGCUCUUUGGAUUCAGCCGGUUCUGCCGGUGUACUUCCUUUGAGUGGGGUCAACAUCAGUUUUGAUCGCUGGAUAAAGGCUGGAGGAACGUAGCACCCUCGGGUGAACUUAUAGCCUCCUGUCACAUACAGUGGUUGGGACUGAGGAACGCAGCACGCCUUUAUGGCCGGGAUUCGUCCACGUACGUGCUUA